AAGCUGGACGACGAAGAGCUCGUGUCCUACAUCCUCGCCGGCCUCGACAUCGAGUACAACUCCCUGGUGUCGGCCAUUGCUGCUCGGGUGGAACCCAUCACCCUCGGUGAGCUCUACACCCAACUCAUUAGCUUCGAAC
Molecule: small nucleolar RNA, 139 nt
Organism: Panicum virgatum (switchgrass)
Lineage: Eukaryota; Viridiplantae; Streptophyta; Magnoliopsida; Poales; Poaceae
Product: small nucleolar RNA Z247
Exons: 1
Source: RefSeq, a predicted model, not a curated record